CCUACGGGUGGCAGCAGUGAGGAAUAUUGGUCAAUGGGCGGAAGCCUGAACCAGCCAAGUCGCGUGAGGGAGUAAGGCCCUACGGGUCGUAAACCUCUUUUGCCGGGGAGCAGUGCCCAGCUCGUGAGCUGGGAGGGAGCGUACCCGGAGUAAAAGCCUCGGCUAACUCCGUGCCAGCAGCCGCGGUAAUACGGAGGAAGCGAGCGUUAUCCGGAUUUAUUGGGUUUAAAGGGUGCGUAGGCGGGCCUUCAGGCCGGCGGUAAAAGUGCGGGGCUCAACCCCGCCGAGCCCUCGGAACCGGGGGCAUUGAGUACCGAAGAAGUACGGGGAAUGCGUGGGGUAGCGGUGAAAGGCAUAGAUAUCACGCAGAACCCCGAUUGCGAAGGCAGCGUACCGGCCGGUCACUGACGCUGAGGCACGAAAGCGCGGGUAUCGAACAGGAUUAGAUACCCGUGUAGUC
This 460-nucleotide ribosomal RNA is filed under the name uncultured bacterium. Its description in RNAcentral is "partial 16S ribosomal RNA". It matches the Rfam family "Bacterial small subunit ribosomal RNA", at positions 338 to 795 of the family's 1533-position model. The record is from RNAcentral.